Hordeum vulgare subsp. vulgare (domesticated barley) is the source of this 402-nucleotide long non-coding RNA. RefSeq lists it as uncharacterized. The transcript is spliced from 2 exons. The record is from RefSeq and is a predicted model, not a curated record. Lineage: Eukaryota; Viridiplantae; Streptophyta; Magnoliopsida; Poales; Poaceae.
AAAGUUUAGCAAAUGGAGCUUCCUCUCAACACAUUGCCAGAAGAUUAAACAACGAAAGGAUCGAAUAAACCGAUAGAUCAACCAUGCCGUCUUGCAAACGGACCACAAGUGUUCCGUGCUUGGUAGCUGUGAUGGUCAUGGUGGUGGUUACAGUGAUGCUGUCUUGCGAUGCCUACACUUUUUGCGAUGACAUUAUUGGAAAAUGCACCAUGGUGAACUGCAAGGCUCUAUGCAUUAAACAGGGUUUCGGGAAAGAACGUAUCCAUUGCGCAACUGAAGAUAAAUGUUGUUGUGAUUAUGGCCCGAAGUCUAAGCUCAUGGUCAACAUUGUAGACCGCGAUUGAUGGUAUAUUGCAUAUGUUGACAAUAAUAAAUAAAGUACAAAAAAUGUAUUACUACCUC